ACGGGUGUUUACCUGGAGUUUGAGGGAGACCCUGGGAAUUCGUUGUAGUCUCGCGGGACUGGCUCUAUUCAGCUACGAGUGCCGGGGCUCCGGAAGGUGUGCUGCGGAGCUCCGUCUUUGUUCACUCUUGUCCAAACUGCAGCUUGUGCUAGGUUCUCUUUUUCAGCCUUAUUUACUCCUCCCGGCUUUAGCUGCAGACUAUUCACUAAAAAACCCACCCAAGCACAAGCCUCGGCUUUUCCUCCCCCGGACUGUCCCGCCUUCACACUCCUCAGAGGCUUUGUGGCCGCCUGGGGUUACGGGAGACCUCUUCGCAAACUCCUCUCUAUGUACUGGGGACACAGGAGUGCUGGGUUAGAAGCAGUUGGCUUGCUAAGAUAAGAAAACCAAGGCACAGAGACGUGAAGUAACUUAUCCUGUACAAAGUCUAACAGCAAGUGGAGUCACCAUCAGAACUCAAGUAUCAGGUUCCAGAGCCAUAUGCUUAGCCACUGUGAUGUACUGCCUCCCAUAAAAAAAUGUCUCAUGUUCAUCAGGUUAAUCCUAAAGUGCCUGAAGUCAUGCUGUUGCCGCUGAUCCAUGGAACAUACUCUAAAGAACAUGGGACUAAGCAUACAGUAAUGAAUCAAAGCUAAGUCUAGAUUUUAGAAAUACAGCAAAUACAAAGCAUGGCUGCAUGAAAACAGAUUCUGCUGAAUUGCUACCUGGACAUUUAAAAAGAGCUUCCUUAGAAGAUUCCUGACUUAGCUCUAGCAAUCUUAACCAUCACAUGGGCUAAAUGAACCCUGGAUCAUUUGUUUGCCCUUUGGCAGGCUUGGAAGUUUAAGAUCAAAGUGCUGGUGAAUUCUGUUUCUGGUGAAGGCCUGCUUCCUGGCUUACAGACAGCUACCAUCUCCCUGUGUGCUCACAUGACCUCUUUGUGAGUAUGUACACAUAGACAGAAAGAGAACUCUGGUUUCUUUUCCUCUUCUUAUAAGGACACUAAUCUCGUCAUGGGGAGCCCCACACCCACCAUCUGAUUUAACUCUACCUUCCAAAGAAAGGCUCUACUGCCAAAGGCCAUCACAUUGAGGGUUAGAGCUUCAGCAUAUGAAUGGGGGCCGGACAC
Neofelis nebulosa (Clouded leopard) is the source of this 1108-nucleotide long non-coding RNA. RefSeq lists it as uncharacterized. The transcript has 5 exons. Lineage: Eukaryota; Metazoa; Chordata; Mammalia; Carnivora; Felidae. The record is from RefSeq and is a predicted model, not a curated record.